This 253-nucleotide ribosomal RNA is filed under the name uncultured bacterium. RNAcentral's name for it is "partial 16S ribosomal RNA". It matches the Rfam family "Bacterial small subunit ribosomal RNA", at positions 524 to 776 of the family's 1533-position model. The record is from RNAcentral.
UACGGAGGGUGCAAGCGUUAUCCGGAUUCACUGGGUUUAAAGGGUGCGUAGGUGGGGUGGUAAGUCAGUGGUGAAAUCUCCGAGCUUAACUUGGAAACUGCCAUUGAUACUAUCAUUCUUGAAUAUUGUGGAGGUCAGCGGAAUAUGUCAUGUAGCGGUGAAAUGCUUAGAUAUGACAUAGAACACCAAUUGCGCAGGCAGCUUACUACACAGUAAUUGACACUGAGGCACGAAAGCGUGGGGAUCAAACAGG